This 1065-nucleotide ribosomal RNA is filed under the name Vibrio parahaemolyticus. RNAcentral describes it as "partial 23S ribosomal RNA". It matches the Rfam family "Bacterial large subunit ribosomal RNA", at positions 708 to 1718 of the family's 2925-position model. Lineage: Bacteria; Pseudomonadati; Pseudomonadota; Gammaproteobacteria; Vibrionales; Vibrionaceae. The record is from RNAcentral.
UAUAGACCCGAAACCAGGUGAUCUAGCCAUGGGCAGGUUGAAGGUUGAGUAACAUCAACUGGAGGACCGAACCGACUAAUGUUGAAAAAUUAGCGGAUGACUUGUGGCUAGGGGUGAAAGGCCAAUCAAACCUGGAGAUAGCUGGUUCUCCCCGAAAGCUAUUUAGGUAGCGCCUCGGACGAAUACUACUGGGGGUAGAGCACUGUUAAGGCUAGGGGGUCAUCCCGACUUACCAACCCUUUGCAAACUCCGAAUACCAGUAAGUACUAUCCGGGAGACACACGGCGGGUGCUAACGUCCGUCGUGGAGAGGGAAACAACCCAGACCGCCAGCUAAGGUCCCAAAUUACUACUAAGUGGGAAACGAUGUGGGAAGGCUCAGACAGCCAGGAUGUUGGCUUAGAAGCAGCCAUCAUUUAAAGAAAGCGUAAUAGCUCACUGGUCGAGUCGGCCUGCGCGGAAGAUGUAACGGGGCUAAGUAGUAAACCGAAGCUGCGGCAAUGUGCUUUUGCACAUUGGGUAGGGGAGCGUUCUGUAAGCGGUUGAAGGUGUGUGGUAACGCAUGCUGGACGUAUCAGAAGUGCGAAUGCUGACAUGAGUAACGAUAAAGGGGGUGAAAAACCUCCUCGCCGGAAGACCAAGGGUUCCUGUCCAACGUUAAUCGGGGCAGGGUAAGUCGACCCCUAAGGCGAGGCCGAAAGGCGUAGUCGAUGGGAAACGGGUUAAUAUUCCCGUACUUCUUACAAUUGCGAUGGGGGGACGGAGAAGGCUAGGUGGGCCUGGCGACGGUUGUCCAGGUUCAAGUGCGUAGGCUUAAGAGUUAGGUAAAUCCGGCUCUUUUUAAGGCUGAGACACGACGUCGAGCAUCUACGGAUGUUAGGUAAAUCCGGCUCUUUUUAAGGCUGAGACACGACGUCGAGCCACUACGGUGGUGAAGUCAUUGAUGCCAUGCUUCCAGGAAAAGCCUCUAAGCUUCAGAUUGUAAGGAAUCGUACCCCAAACCGACACAGGUGGUCGGGUAGAGAAUACCAAGGCGCUUGAGAGAACUCGGGUGAAGGAACUAGGC